CAUUACUCCCAUUCCCAAUUCAUCGUAUAUUCUCUCCCCCUCCUUUCUCAAAACAGAAUACGCCAAGAUUUUUCAAGAAUCCCCAAAUCCUCUCUCAUUUCUUUCCCAAGUUAAGCUUAAACAUAUAGACAAAAUGAAUAGGAAAUAAAAGCUCCGUCGCCCUCAAGCUCUCGCCGACCCUUCUCUCUCUCACCACAUCUAAAACGAGAUUUCCAAUUUUCCUGCUGCGGAUCGCCGUCGCACUGCACCAAUCGACCGGUCACUGCCGCUACUUCCUUCGUCGGCCCACUGGGCGGCCUCGGUCCUCCCCGAUUAGCCCCGUUUCCCAAUUAAAGAUUUCAUGAUAUGCACAAGAAUGGAAUAGGAAUGGGGUGGAAGAAGUGUAUACCUUUGUUGCAAAGAGUUGCAGGAAAACAAUUUGGGGACUCUCGGCUCUCUUACUCGAACUAUUUCUUCUCAACUGUGAUUUCAAGAAUUGGUAUCAUGGAAUUAAAAUAUGGAGGUUCGUAUUCAUGGGAUUGUGAAGAAAUUACCUUUGUUGGAUAGACAACCACAUAUCAAACUGGAGUCUCGGUUUCUCUCUAUUUUUUUCAGAUUUUUUUUUAUAGAAUGAAGAAACUGAUUUGUGAAGGGAAUAUUAUAGAGAGGAGGUGGUUGAUAGAUAUGGGAGAGAUUCAUGGAAGAGAGGAGCGGUUUUUCUAACGUGGGCUGAGGAGGUGUGAUUUUCGAAUCAAUCUUUUUUUUGGGAUCAA
Long non-coding RNA from Salvia splendens (bonfire salvia), 752 nucleotides. RefSeq lists it as uncharacterized. The transcript is spliced from 2 exons. The record is from RefSeq and is a predicted model, not a curated record. NCBI's taxonomy places the organism in Eukaryota, Viridiplantae, Streptophyta, Magnoliopsida, Lamiales, Lamiaceae.